This 495-nucleotide ribosomal RNA is filed under the name uncultured bacterium. RNAcentral's name for it is "partial 16S ribosomal RNA". It matches the Rfam family "Bacterial small subunit ribosomal RNA", at positions 28 to 507 of the family's 1533-position model. The record is from RNAcentral.
GACGAACGCUGGCGGCGUGCCUAAUACAUGCAAGUAGAACGCUGAAGGAGGAGCUUGCUUCUCUGGAUGAGUUGCGAACGGGUGAGUAACGCGUAGGUAACCUGCCUGGUAGCGGGGGAUAACUAUUGGAAACGAUAGCUAAUACCGCAUAAUAGUAGAUGUUGCAUGACAUUUACUUAAAAGGUGCAAUUGCAUCACUACCAGAUGGACCUGCGUUGUAUUAGCUAGUUGGUGGGGUAACGGCUCACCAAGGCGACGAUACAUAGCCGACCGGAGAGGGUGAUCGGCCACACUGGGACGGAGACACGGCCCAGACUCCUACGGGAGGCAGCAGUAGGGAAUCUUCGGCAAUGGACGAAAGUCUGACCGAGCAACGCCGCGUGAGUGAAGAAGGUUUUCGGAUCGUAAAGCUCUGUUGUAAGAGAAGAACGAGUGUGAGAGUGGAAAGUUCACACUGUGACGGUAUCUUACCAGAAAGGGACGGCUAACUACGUG